CAGGACGAGCCGACAGGAUGUCGGCGAGAGGGAGGGCCAGGCCAGGACGGCCUGUCCCGACGGGUCCGU
Pantoea sp. is the source of this 69-nucleotide non-coding RNA. The record is from Rfam. Lineage: Bacteria; Pseudomonadati; Pseudomonadota; Gammaproteobacteria; Enterobacterales; Erwiniaceae.